GGAGGCGUGCCGGAGCGGUUUAACGGGCUAGUCUUGAAAACUAGAGUAGUCGAAAGACUACCAGAGGUUCGAAUCCUCUCGCCUCCG
RNAcentral lists this transfer RNA (87 nucleotides) under Candidatus Woesebacteria bacterium. RNAcentral's name for it is "tRNA-Ser". It matches the Rfam family "tRNA". Rfam says of the family: Transfer RNA (tRNA) molecules are approximately 80 nucleotides in length. Lineage: Bacteria; Candidatus Woeseibacteriota. The record is from RNAcentral.